This 65-nucleotide transfer RNA is filed under the name Amblyomma marmoreum. Its description in RNAcentral is "tRNA-Glu". The record is from RNAcentral. Lineage: Eukaryota; Metazoa; Arthropoda; Arachnida; Ixodida; Ixodidae.
UUUUAGAUAGUGUAAAAAACACUUAACAUUUUCAUUGUUAAAUUUCCGUUUUUGGAUUUAAAUCC